GGAGCCGUGGCAGAGUGGUCGAUCGCGGCGGUCUUGAAAACCGUUGAGCCUUAACCGGUUCCGUGGGUUCGAAUCCCACCGGCUCCGCCA
Molecule: transfer RNA, 90 nt
Filed under: Paracoccaceae bacterium
Lineage: Bacteria; Pseudomonadati; Pseudomonadota; Alphaproteobacteria; Rhodobacterales; Paracoccaceae
Description: Rhodobacteraceae bacterium tRNA-Ser
Rfam family: tRNA
About the family: Transfer RNA (tRNA) molecules are approximately 80 nucleotides in length. Their secondary structure includes four short double-helical elements and three loops (D, anti-codon, and T loops).
Source: RNAcentral